GCAUGUUUGCCUUCUCAACAAAGAAAACCUCGUGCCUCAGCCACUUCCUGCCUGACUCAUUGUUCCUAUCAAGCCCAGGCAGCACCCACUCUUCCAAGGAACAGGGUCAUGGCUGUGUGUCUCUUCAGGAAGUGGCUGCUCUACAGAUGGCCACAGGCUUCCUGCUUCAGUCAAGGCUUUUGAAUCACACUACUCCCUGUCUGUGGUUUUGAAUGUUUUUGUUUGUUUGCUGGGGAGGAAUGAAUAACUGACCUUGAAUGGGGUUGUAGGGGGGAAGGUAGACUGUGUGACACAGAGCCACGCUGGAUUCAUGGUCUCAGCCUGAAUCGGGUUGUACUUUGAAGGACAGCAGAUUUCAGGAGGCUGAAACUACGGAGACAAACGGUUUAUAAAUUCUUAUUUUCCCCCAUCACUUUGGCCAGCACUGGGCUGCCCUUCUUAAGCCAGAGAGAACAGAGUUAGAUUAUAUUGCUACAACAGUAAAAUCUGUGAUAGAAGGAUGUCUACAGAACUGGGAGGCCUGGCCUCACAUUUAAGUCUUCUAACCUCUUCCUUUUUAACACUGCUUGAAAUGCCAUGACUGGAUUCAGUGUGCUCGGAAGCUCCGUAAAAUCACGUCUCUGCGCGAACAUGUAGGAAGGAUGCCUAUCACAUCACAACCCACUGGGCUGGUGAGAGCGCUCUUGGCUCCACCCCCUACAGUUCAGUGAGAGUGGAGAUGGUCCUCUGAAAAAAGAAAAAGCUAACCCAGGCAUCUCUCACAUUGACAGCUGGAGGAAAUCUUCGUGGUGUGCCAGGGACCAGGCUGGACCCGCCUUCUGCGACACAAGACCCACUGACAUAAAUCAGCCUUCACAUUCACGUGGCUUUUGGAGAUCAAAGUUCAAAGCUAAUCUAGGAGGUUCAACAGUCCUUCGGUCUCAUACUCAUCAGGUGCCAUGCUUCACUGGACAAGAAAGUAAUCUGUCGUGAACACUACUAUCGCUGUCUUUUCUUGGGGACCUAUGAGGUGGUAGAAUUCAGAUUUUUUUUUUAACUUGCAAAUCUGUGUGUGCAUGUGUAUGUGUGCAUGCAUGUGUUCGUGGAGGGGGGUAUGUGUGUGACUGUGAGUGCAUGUGAAAGCCAGAAGACCUUGGGUAUCAUUCACAAUUUCUUGGGGUUUUUCUUUUCCCUUUGAGACAAGACUUCUCAUUGGCCUAGAACUUACAAAUAGUCUGGGAUGGCCCCACAGCAAACCUCAGAUAGCCACAAAUGCAUUGCACUGUGUUAUAGAAGGACAUUUUUCAAACAAGUAUGCACGAGGAACAGCAUAGGCCAUAUCCCCUCCCCCUCCCAUUAGUCUCUUCUAAGAAACGUAACUGUAAAGACAGAUGUCUCAGCAGUUAAAAGCAGGCACUGCUCUUGCAGAAGACUGGAGUCUAUGUCCCAGCACCACAUAAGGCAGCUCACAGAUCCCUGUAACUCUGGUUCGGAGGAUCUAAUGUCCACUUGAGCCUCCACAGGUACCUGACUUAUGUGUGCAACUCCCCACCCCACCCCAGCUGCUACACACACACACACACACACACUACCACCACCACCACCACCAUCAUCACCAUCAUCAUCAUCAUCAAAACAAAAGUAAUAAAUCUGGACUGGAGAGAUGGCUCGGUGGUUAAGAAGAUUGACUGCUCUUCCAGAGGUCCUGAGUUCAAUUCCCAGCAACCACAUGGUAGCUCACAACCAUCUGUAAUGAGAUCCAAUGCCCUCUUUUGGUGUGUCUGAAGAAAGCUACAAUGUAUGGAUAUAAAUAAAAUAAAUAAAUCUUUUAAAAAAAAGUGAUAAAUCUGUAAAAACAAAUAGUGCCUGAAUUAAACAUGUCGUUAUAUGUAGUGAGGGUGAGGGAUCAUGUGUUUCCCUAGUUACAUGCUUGAUAGCAUGUUCAGUGAUGGAGACAUGGGUAAAGUGUGCCUCAUCUUUCCUCACUUCAACUCUGAUCUUCGUGUCUCCCACUGCAGAGCUGGAUAGAAGGAGAAGACUAUCGGAGACAUGAACUGUCUUACUGACCAAUCCCGUACGUCAACAUGAAAACACCGUCUAUGGAAUUCUCUUAUCCAGACAACCCCUCCUGGGAAAAUGGAAUUAACAUCAAAAUACAAAUAGCACCAGGACCAUCCAUCCACAACAGAGAGGACCAUCUUUUGCCUUCUUCAUUCAACCUGUGUGCCAGUCUAGAUGUCGUGGCAGUGAGGGAAGCCAGAGGAAAUCAGUACUCACUGACACAAGCAGAUCUUGCUGUUUUAAGAUCCCCAAUGU
This is a long non-coding RNA of Mus musculus (house mouse), 2295 nucleotides long. RefSeq annotates it as predicted gene, 53602. The transcript has 4 exons. The record is from RefSeq and is a predicted model, not a curated record. NCBI's taxonomy places the organism in Eukaryota, Metazoa, Chordata, Mammalia, Rodentia, Muridae.